Molecule: ribosomal RNA, 396 nt
Filed under: uncultured bacterium
Lineage: Bacteria
Description: partial 16S ribosomal RNA
Rfam family: Bacterial small subunit ribosomal RNA
Source: RNAcentral
AUACGUAGGUGGCAAGCGUUGUCCGGAAUUAUUGGGCGUAAAGCGCAUGUAGGCGGUGCCUUAAGUCUGUCGUGAAACUGCGGGGCUCAGCCCCGUAUGGCGAUGGAAACUGGGUUACUUGAGUGCAGGAGAGGAAAGGGGAACUCCCAGUGUAGCGGUGAAAUGCGUAGAUAUUGGGAAGAACACCGGUGGCGAAGGCGCCUUUCUGGACUGUGUCUGACGCUGAGAUGCGAAAGCCAGGGUAGCGAACGGGAUUAGAUACCCCGGUAGUCCUGGCCGUAAACGAUGGGUACUAGGUGUGGGAGGUAUCGACCCCUUCCGUGCCGGAGUUAACGCAAUAAGUACCCCGCCUGGGGAGUACGGCCGCAAGGCUUAAACUCAAAUGAAUCGACGGGG